AUGGCAAAUGUGAGAUGCAGUGUAUGGAAUGUCAAAUUUCUAGUAUGAGAAAUUAACGAUUUAAGUCCUUCUUAAAUGAGGCCAUUUACCCAAAGAGGGUGCCAGGCCCGUAUAACGUUAAUGAUUACUAGAUGACAUUUCCAAAGAGUCGUGUUGCUUGAUAGUGCAGCACUAAGUGGGUGGUAAACUCCAUCUAAAACUAAAUAUAACCAUGAGACCGAUAGUAAACAAGUACCGUGAGGGAAAGUUGAAAAGAACUCUGAAUAGAGAGUUAAAUAGUACGUGAAACUGCUUAGAGGUUAAGCCCGAUGAACCUGAAUAUCCUUUAUGGAAAAUUCAUCAUUAUGAUUUUAAUAUUAAUAAUAUUAUAAUAAUGGUGUGCAUUUUUUCCAUAUAUGGACAUUGUAAUCUAUUAAUAUGAAAAUACAGAUUUAUUAUAAGAUCAUUAGCUUUAUGUUUAUUCAAAUUAUUUUGCUUUUGCAAUCUAACAUAGAAUAAAGGCUUUUGAUUUAAUAAAGUGUUGAUAGAUUUAUUAUAUAUAGUGCUUGAAUAUUUAUAUUCUAUAAUGGCAUAUUGAUCAUUGAUCUUUGUGUUUAUAUUAUAUGCGCUUAUAUGAUUAACAAUGCGAAAGAUUCAGGAUACCUUCGGGACCCGUCUUGAAACACGGACCAAGGAGUCUAACAUAUUUGCAAGUUAUUGGGAAUUAAAAACCUAAUAGCGAAAUUAACAUAACUUAUAUAUAAUGGGAUUAGUUUUUAGUUACUAUUUUUAAUAGUCUAUUAAUUCAAUCCCGGGGCGUUCUAUACAGUUAUGUAUAAUAAUAUUUAUAUUAUUUAUACCUCUAACUAGAGCGUACCUUGAGCAUAUAUGCUGUGACCCGAAAGAUGGUGAACUAUACUUGAUCAGGUUGAAGUCAGGGGAAACCCUG
This 928-nucleotide ribosomal RNA is filed under the name Anthomyia xanthopyga. RNAcentral describes it as "partial large subunit ribosomal RNA". It matches the Rfam family "Eukaryotic large subunit ribosomal RNA", at positions 129 to 866 of the family's 3401-position model. The record is from RNAcentral. Lineage: Eukaryota; Metazoa; Arthropoda; Insecta; Diptera; Anthomyiidae.